GUUGUGGGGUCCUUUCCACGGAUUCCGUGACGCAGCUAACGCAUUAAGUUCCCCGCCUGGGGAGUACGGCCGCAAGGCUAAAACUCAAAGGAAUUGACGGGGACCCGCACAAGCGGCGGAGCAUGCGGAUUAAUUCGAUGCAACGCGAAGAACCUUACCAAGGCUUGACAUACACGAGAACGGGCCAGAAAUGGUCAACUCUUUGGACACUCGUGAACAGGUGGUGCAUGGUUGUCGUCAGCUCGUGUCGUGAGAUGUUGGGUUAAGUCCCGCAACGAGCGCAACCCUCGUUCUAUGUUGCCAGCACGUAAUGGUGGGAACUCAUGGGAUACUGCCGGGGUCAACUCGGAGGAAGGUGGGGAUGACGUCAAAUCAUCAUGCCCCUUAUGUCUUGGGCUUCACGCAUGCUACAAUGGCCGGUACAAUGGGCUGCGAUACCGUAAGGUGGAGCGAAUCCCAAAAAGCCGGUCCCAGUUCGGAUUGAGGUCUGCAACUCGACCUCAUGAAGUCGGAGUCGCUAGUAAUCGCAGAUCAGCAACGCUGCGGUGAAUACGUUCCCGGGUCUUGUACAC
This 572-nucleotide ribosomal RNA is filed under the name Microbacterium sp. 1_67p. RNAcentral describes it as "bacterial SSU rRNA". It matches the Rfam family "Bacterial small subunit ribosomal RNA", at positions 819 to 1388 of the family's 1533-position model. Lineage: Bacteria; Bacillati; Actinomycetota; Actinomycetes; Micrococcales; Microbacteriaceae. The record is from RNAcentral.